GACCUCCGAAGCCGUCUCCCGUGGGAGACUGUGCUUGGCCCGGACCGCGUCCCCAACCUGCCCGCCUGUCUGUCCCCACCCUCUUCAGCCCAGCCCUCAGCCUGCGCUCCGGCCCACCCGGGACCCUCCCAAUUCUCAGGGUCUCCAGCCCCACGACCUGGGCGCCUGCUGAGCGAAACGGACGCUUCAAAAUGCCGCUGAGCCACAAACUGUCGUUAUUCUGGCCAAUUGUACAACUUGUGCAGAAGCGAAAUACAGGUCCUUAAAAUGCUCUGCAAGAUGUCUUUUGUUCUGCAAACUGAGCCUCAGCCUCCUCGCAGAGGGAGGAGGGGUUCUCGGGCACCAGGGGCCGGCCUCGCUCCCGGCCUGGGCCUGCGGCCUGGGGAUGAAAAGAGGGGCUGCAGCCUCACGGCCGCGGCAGUGUCCCUCAUGUGGGGAGUGGCUUGAAAGAGGCACCUCGGUUGGGUGACAGCAAGGAUCCGUCACCCUGGCUUUGGAGCUGCAGUUCCUGCACGAGUCGAGGAGGGCCUCUUCUCUCUGGUCUGGAGUAGAAAGGCCUCACGCACAGGAGCCAGCUCUGCGCGGGCGAGGGGAAGGCCCUGGAGGUGUGCACAGGCCCUAGCUGGUCCCUGGUGCAGGAAGAGGAAAAGCUGCAGAAGACAGCGUCCACUCUUGAGAGUUCAGCGUCUCGCCGAGGACAAGCCUCCCCAGACAGAGGCAGCCCUGACGCAGAGAGGUGGGUGCUCCAGCGUCUUCAUGCAAAAGGUGUUUCAUCCGCAGGAUGCGCCGCAGGACAGGCUUCACCAGUUCCCUGGGGUGCCCAGGGCCAUGCCUGGUGGGUGAAACCCUCCUGCUUGAGCCAGAUGAGCAGGGGCCUCCCCAGGAAAGCAGGCUUGCUGAUGAAAAGAACGUGCGGGAGCAGCAUCAAUCAGGCUCCUUUGGAUGGAACUCAGCACACAGUACAGGUGAGGGGAUCCACGUGUGCUGCCUGCAUCUCAUCUCCAGGGCCAGCAGCUGUGGCUGCGACGGCAGGCCCACCCCCGGGGGCUUCUGGGAAGCUGACUUCAUUUCAGGGAGGGCAGGCAGAGAGAAGCCCUGAGUACCUGCACCCGCAUUCAGUCGCCUUCUCAGACUACUUUGUGGACAGAGGCAGCUGGAGUAACCAGAGGCUGGCUGGACCACGCGCUCUCUCGGAUUGUUGACAGCUGAUACCCACCUCAACAGCCCUGGCUUACACCUUAUCCAGCAACACCCCCGUCUUUUCUCACUCUACCCUGAGAAAAAGCCACUGGCUGUGGAUCCUAAAACUGGCUGGCGCCUGCGUGUGUUUUCUCCAGCCUGCCCCUCCCAGAGAAAGAGUAAGAAAUGGAAAACCACUCUUUUGCUUUUCCCCCUCCCUGUUUACGUUUUUAAUUGAAGUAUAAUUGAUUUACAGUGUUGUGUUAAUUUCUGCUCUACAGCAAAGCGAUUGUUUUAUAUACACUCUUUUCCAUUACGGUUUAUCUCAGGACAUUGAAUAUAUUUCCUUGUGCUGUAGAGUAAGACCUUGUUAUUUAUUCUUUAUAUAUAUAUAUUUUUUUUUUUUUGUCUUUUUGUUGUUAUUGUUGUUGUUGUUGUUGUUGCUAUUUCUUGGGCCGCUCCCGCUGCAUAUGGAGGUUCCCAGGCUAGGGUCGAAUCGGAGCUGUCGCCACUGGCCUACGCCAGAGCCACAGCAACGCGGGAUCCGAGCCGAAUCUGCAACCUACACCACAGCUCACGGCAACGCCGGAUCGUUAACCCACUGAGCAAGGGCAGGGACCGAACCCACAACCUCAUGGUUCCCAGUCGGAUUCGUUAACCACUGCGCCACAACGGGAACUCCUAUUCUUUAUAUAUUUUUGAUCUGCUAAUCCCAACCUUCCAAUGCAUCCCUCCCCCGCCACCCUCUCCCCCUUUGCAACCACAGGUUUGUUCUCCUUGUCCCUGAGUCUCUAUUUUGUAGAUGGGUUCAUUUGUGUCAUAUUUUAGACUCCACAUAUAUGUGAUAUCAUAUGGUAUUUAUCUUUGACUUGACUUAGUAUGAUCAUCUCUGCGUCUAUGCUGCUGCAAAUGGCAUAUUUUGUUUUUGUUUUGGCUGAGGCAUGCAGCAGCUUGAUGGGGAAUCUCAGUUCCCAGACCAGAGAUUGAACCUGGGCUGCAGCAGUGAAAGUGCCAAAUCCUAACCACUAGACCACCAGGGAACUCCCCAUUUCAUUCUUUUUUAAGGCUGGUAAUAAUCCAUUGCGUGUGCAUAUAUAUCUCAUCACAUCUUAAUCUCUUCAUCUCUUGAUGGAUAUUUAGGUUGUUUUCAUGUCUUGGAUAUUGUAAAUAGUGCUGCUUUGAACAUAGAGGUGCACGUAUCUUUUUCAAUUAUGGUUUUGUCCAAAUAUAUGCCCAGAAGUGGGACUGCUGGGUCAUAUAGUAAUUCUAUUUUUAGUUUUUUGAGGAACCUCUGUACUGUUUUCUGUAGUGGCUGCUUCAACUUACAUUCCCACUAACAGUGUGGAAGUGUUCCCUUUUCUCCACACCUUCUCCAGCAUUUAUUGUUUGUAGACUUUUGUGCGUGUGUGUGUGUGCUUUUUAGGGCCACAUCUGUGGCAUUUGAAGUUCCUAGGCCAGGGGUUGAAUCUGAACUGGAGCCACCAUCCUCCACCACAGCCAUGGCAAAGUCCGAUCCAAGCUGUGUCUUCAUCCUAUGGCACAGCUCAGGGCAAUCCACUGACCAAGGCCAGGGAUCAACCCCCCAUUGUCAUGGAUAUUAGUCAGGUUCAUUUCUGCUGAGCCACACUGGGAACUCCCUGUUUGUAGACUUUUUGAUGAUGGCUGUUCUCACUGGUGUGAAGUGGUACCUCAUUGUGUUUUGGAUUUGCAUUUCUGUAAUAAUUAGUGAUGGAGUUCCUGUCGUGGCUCAGUGGCUAAUGAAUCUGACUAGGAACCAUGAGGUUUUGGGUUCGAUCCCUGGCCUUGCUCAGUGGGUUAAGGAUGCGGUGUUGCUAUGAGCUGUGGUGUAGGUCUAAGACAUGGCUGGGAUCUGAUGUUGCUGAGGCUGGGUGUAGGCCAGCAGCUGUAGCUCCGAUUAGACCCCUAGCCUGGGAACCUCCAUAUGCCGCGGGUACAGCCCUAGAAAAGCCAAUAUAAUAAUAAUAAUAAAUUUUUAAAAAUGAGUGAUGUUGAGCA
Molecule: long non-coding RNA, 3195 nt
Filed under: Sus scrofa (pig)
Lineage: Eukaryota; Metazoa; Chordata; Mammalia; Artiodactyla; Suidae
Description: lncRNA (ENSSSCG00070002734.1)
Source: RNAcentral